Molecule: long non-coding RNA, 788 nt
Organism: Micropterus dolomieu (smallmouth bass)
Lineage: Eukaryota; Metazoa; Chordata; Actinopteri; Centrarchiformes; Centrarchidae
Exons: 2
Source: RefSeq, a predicted model, not a curated record
AACCAACUUCUACCAGCACAAAUUAUCUUUUUAGCACCAUUGUUACUGCUCUGUAUAAAAAUUUGUAAGAUGACUGCUUCUGUUUUUUCUAAUGGAGUUAUUGCACAUUCCAAUUCUAAUGCUGUGUCAGUACCAGAACAGGUAACAGGUAGAGGUUACAAAGAACUGUCAGUCACUUGCUGUGCUGUGGAAACACCUUGAUACUGAUGUGUGAAUUUUAAUGCUUCAUUUGCACUUGAUUUGCUGUCAGUGAACCCAGACUGGAUGUUAACUAAUGAGCCAUUUCUAUCUAUCUACACCGAGGGUCCUCUUACAUAGAAGUCGCCAUGUUUUUACAGUAGCCCAAACGGAGAAACUGCUCUACAGACUGUGUUUCGUCACUACAUUGAUUACAUCUGAAAAACAAGCAGAAGAAGAACAACAACAAGUAACAUUAGUAGUAGUAGUAGUAGUAGUAGUCUUAUGGUUUAUUAGAAGAGAAGUGAAAUUUGGACAAAUGGAGGACCACACAUAUUAUUUAACCCAAGAGCCGACCUAACGUGUUGGCCACUGUAGCUUCUCCUGCAUGCUUGGAAAAGAAGGGCUGAGCGGUGACUGAUGGUGCAUUCAUGUGGUAUUGAAAUAAUUGGAUUUAUUUUCAAUUUCCUUUAUUGCAAAAAGAAGAAUAAAGUACAUAAAAAAGUAUAGAAAACAGCGUACAAAUAUAAGAAGACACAAUUAAUAAAAACUUUGCCAGGGGUAGUCUGUAUCAUAUAUACAUAUUAAAAGAGGACCAUGUGUUGAAAGUU